AAUCCAUAGGUUAAUGAGGCGAACCGGGGGAACUGAAACAUCUAAGUACCCCGAGGAAAAGAAAUCAACCGAGAUUCCCCCAGUAGCGGCGAGCGAACGGGGAGGAGCCCAGAGCCUGAAUCAGCAUGUGUGUUAGUGGAAGCGUCUGGAAAGGCGCGCGAUACAGGGUGACAGCCCCGUACACAAAAGCGCAUGUGCUGUGAGCUCGAUGAGUAGGGCGGGACACGUGGUAUCCUGUCUGAAUAUGGGGGGACCAUCCUCCAAGGCUAAAUACUCCUGACUGACCGAUAGUGAACCAGUACCGUGAGGGAAAGGCGAAAAGAACCCCGGCGAGGGGAGUGAAAAAGAACCUGAAACCGUGUACGUACAAGCAGUGGGAGCACAGGUUUACCUGUGUGACUGCGUACCUUUUGUAUAAUGGGUCAGCGACUUAUAUUCUGUAGCAAGGUUAACCGAAUAGGGGAGCCGGAGGGAAACCGAGUCUUAAU
Molecule: ribosomal RNA, 488 nt
Filed under: Salmonella enterica subsp. enterica serovar Infantis
Lineage: Bacteria; Pseudomonadati; Pseudomonadota; Gammaproteobacteria; Enterobacterales; Enterobacteriaceae
Also listed under: 15 other names
Description: partial 23S ribosomal RNA
Rfam family: Bacterial large subunit ribosomal RNA
Source: RNAcentral